AUGCUAAUACCGCAUACGCCCUACGGGGGAAAGCAGGGGAUCUUCGGACCUUGCGCUAAUAGAUGAGCCUAAGUCGGAUUAGCUAGUUGGUGGGGUAAAGGCCUACCAAGGCGACGAUCUGUAGCGGGUCUGAGAGGAUGAUCCGCCACACUGGGACUGAGACACGGCCCAGACUCCUACGGGAGGCAGCAGUGGGGAAUAUUGGACAAUGGGCGGAAGCCUGAUCCAGCCAUGCCGCGUGUGUGAAGAAGGCCUUUUGGUUGUAAAGCACUUUAAGCGAGGAGGAGGCUACUUAGAUUAAUACUCUAGGAUAGUGGACGUUACUCGCAGAAUAAGCACCGGCUAACUCUGUGCCAGCAGCCGCGGUAAUACAGAGGGUGCGAGCGUUAAUCGGAUUUACUGGGCGUAAAGCGUGCGUAGGCGGCUGAUUAAGUCGGAUGUGAAAUCCCUGAGCUUAACUUAGGAAUUGCAUUCGAUACUGGUCAGCUAGAGUAUGGGAG
This 500-nucleotide ribosomal RNA is filed under the name Acinetobacter sp. RNAcentral's name for it is "bacterial SSU rRNA". It matches the Rfam family "Bacterial small subunit ribosomal RNA", at positions 160 to 654 of the family's 1533-position model. The record is from RNAcentral. Lineage: Bacteria; Pseudomonadati; Pseudomonadota; Gammaproteobacteria; Moraxellales; Moraxellaceae.